RNAcentral lists this ribosomal RNA (460 nucleotides) under uncultured bacterium. Its description in RNAcentral is "partial 16S ribosomal RNA". It matches the Rfam family "Bacterial small subunit ribosomal RNA", at positions 338 to 795 of the family's 1533-position model. The record is from RNAcentral.
CCUACGGGAGGCAGCAGUGAGGAAUAUUGGUCAAUGGACGAGAGUCUGAACCAGCCAAGUAGCGUGAAGGAUGGCUGCCCUAUGGGUUGUAAACUUCUUUUAUAAAGGAAUAAAACGAGGCACGUGUGCCUUUUUGCAUGUACUUUAUGAAUAAGGAUCGGCUAACUCCGUGCCAGCAGCCGCGGUAAUACGGAGGAUCCGAGCGUUAUCCGGAUUUAUUGGGUUUAAAGGGAGCGUAGAUGGGUUGUAAAGCCCGUUGUGAAAAUUUGUGGCUCAACCGUAAAAUUGCAAUUGAUACUGGCAGUCUUGAGUAUGGUUGAGGUAGGCGGAAUUCGUGGUGUAGCGGUGAAAUGCUUAGAGAUCAAGAAGAACCCCGAUUGCGAAGGCAGCUUACUAAAACAUGACUGACGUUGAUGCUCGAAAGUGUGGGUAGCAAACAGGAUUAGAUACCCCAGUAGUC